UUAUUAUGAGAGUUUGAUCCUGGCUCAGGACGAACGCUGGCGGCGUGCCUAAUACAUGCAAGUCGAACGCUUCUUUCCUCCCGAGUGCUUGCACUCAAUUGGAAAGAGGAGUGGCGGACGGGUGAGUAACACGUGGGUAACCUACCCAUCAGAGGGGGAUAACACUUGGAAACAGGUGCUAAUACCGCAUAACAGUUUAUGCCGCAUGG
This 209-nucleotide ribosomal RNA is filed under the name Enterococcus faecalis. Its description in RNAcentral is "partial 16S ribosomal RNA". It matches the Rfam family "Bacterial small subunit ribosomal RNA", at positions 1 to 193 of the family's 1533-position model. The record is from RNAcentral. Lineage: Bacteria; Bacillati; Bacillota; Bacilli; Lactobacillales; Enterococcaceae.